RNAcentral lists this non-coding RNA (162 nucleotides) under human gut metagenome. Its description in RNAcentral is "Lysine riboswitch". It matches the Rfam family "Lysine riboswitch aptamer". From Rfam's summary of the family: Riboswitches are metabolite binding domains within certain messenger RNAs that serve as precision sensors for their corresponding targets. The record is from RNAcentral.
AAUAGAGGCGCGCCGCACGAAAAGUAGCCGUGGGAGACACCGGGUCGGAGAUCACGGACGAAAGGCGUCGGCGCCGAAGGGCGGUUUUUCCGGAGGAAACCGAUCCCUGGACAUGCGGUAAAGAACCGUAUGGCUGUCAUCACGGAGUGAUGGAGCGCUAUU